CCACGGGCGGCUGCAGUGGGGAAUAUUGGACAAUGGGCGAAAGCCUGAUCCAGCCAUGCCGCGUGUGUGAAGAAGGCCUUCGGGUUGUAAAGCACUUUCAGUGGGGAAGAAAGCCUUGGGGCUAAUACCCUCGAGGAAGGACAUCACCCACAGAAGAAGCACCGGCUAACUCCGUGCCAGCAGCCGCGGUAAUACGGAGGGUGCGAGCGUUAAUCGGAAUUACUGGGCGUAAAGCGCGCGUAGGCGGUCUGAUAAGCCGGUUGUGAAAGCCCCGGGCUCAACCUGGGAACGGCAUCCGGAACUGUCAGGCUAGAGUGCAGGAGAGGAAGGUAGAAUUCCCGGUGUAGCGGUGAAAUGCGUAGAGAUCGGGAGGAAUACCAGUGGCGAAGGCGGCCUUCUGGACUGACACUGACGCUGAGGUGCGAAAGCGUGGGUAGCAAACAGGAUUAGAUACCCCGGUAGUC
Molecule: ribosomal RNA, 464 nt
Filed under: Vreelandella stevensii
Lineage: Bacteria; Pseudomonadati; Pseudomonadota; Gammaproteobacteria; Oceanospirillales; Halomonadaceae
Description: partial 16S ribosomal RNA
Rfam family: Bacterial small subunit ribosomal RNA
Source: RNAcentral